GAUGAACGCUGGCUACAGGCUUAACACAUGCAAGUCGAGGGGAAACGACGGGGAAGCUUGCUUCCUUGGGCGUCGACCGGCGCACGGGUGAGUAACGCGUAUCCAACCUGCCUCUGACUGAGGGAUAACCCGUCGAAAGUCGGCCUAAUACCUCAUGGCAUCGUCUGCGGGCAUCCAACGACGAUUAAAGAUUUCAUCGGUCAGAGAUGGGGAUGCGUCUGAUUAGUUAGUUGGCGGGGUAACGGCCCACCAAGGCUACGAUCAGUAGGGGUUCUGAGAGGAAGGUCCCCCACAUUGGAACUGAGACACGGUCCAAACUCCUACGGGAGGCAGCAGUGAGGAAUAUUGGUCAAUGGGCGAGAGCCUGAACCAGCCAAGUAGCGUGCAGGAAGACGGCCCUAUGGGUUGUAAACUGCUUUUAUGCGGGGAUA
This 431-nucleotide ribosomal RNA is filed under the name Segatella oris. Its description in RNAcentral is "bacterial SSU rRNA". It matches the Rfam family "Bacterial small subunit ribosomal RNA", at positions 28 to 448 of the family's 1533-position model. Lineage: Bacteria; Pseudomonadati; Bacteroidota; Bacteroidia; Bacteroidales; Prevotellaceae. The record is from RNAcentral.